GUUUACACGUUUCCCUAAUCUCAGAAAUCUUUUGAUAUGAACAUAUUCAAUAUUUAAGGAGAUUUAAUUAAAAAUGUUGUAGUAAACGAUUCUAAGAUUAAAAUGCAUCCUACAGUAGCUUCUAGCGAAAUUGUCAGUCAAGGAAGGUGGAAGAAAAACCUAACAAAAUGCAAAUUGGGCAGAUACAUUCAUCUAAUGGAUUGAAGGAUUUAAGAAUGCCUAAUAUUAGAAUGCCAAUAAUUAUGCAAACAGUUUUGAUAAAGUUUGAAGCUGCUAGUGUGAUUUCAAUGUUGCAGUGAUAAAUUAUUCUGGCACAACUCUUCUAAAUGCGCAAGGCCAAGAUUUUGAUUGAUGGAAUACAAUGGAUUAGGCGAGGAAGUUUGCAGAAUAGUUUUUAUGGAACAACAGCUGUUAUGCAAAUUAUAUAUUGGGAUUAACAGUAUGUUCACAUCCUUGGAAUUCUCAUACAGAGGCUGUAAUUUAUUUGCUGAAUUGACUAUAUGCUCCAUACUAUGGAUUACAGAAGAUUACAGAUUAUCUUAUAACAAUGUUUAUGAGACUAAAUAGAUGUGUUCUGAUUGUGGGAAGUUUAUAUGGAGUUAGAAUUUUGAUUAUACAACUACUAAAAGCUUGAAACAUGCAUAUAAAUCUUUCAUCAUACAUAUUGCAUUAAAAUUUGCAACAUAUCAAUUUCCAUUUAUGUAGGAAAUUAUCAUGUACAGCAGUGAUAUCAUGGAUAUGUUACAAUUUAAGUCGAAAGAAUUUAGAAUAUGUUAUUGUUAUUGACUAUAAGCAAAACAGUACUGACAUAAAAAUUAUUUCAGAGGGACCAUAAAUAAUUUUACAUCAAACUGAA
Molecule: long non-coding RNA, 856 nt
Organism: Cataglyphis hispanica
Lineage: Eukaryota; Metazoa; Arthropoda; Insecta; Hymenoptera; Formicidae
Exons: 3
Source: RefSeq, a predicted model, not a curated record